This is a long non-coding RNA of Amblyraja radiata (thorny skate), 1519 nucleotides long. RefSeq lists it as uncharacterized. The record is from RefSeq and is a predicted model, not a curated record. The transcript has 2 exons. NCBI's taxonomy places the organism in Eukaryota, Metazoa, Chordata, Chondrichthyes, Rajiformes, Rajidae.
GUCAGCAGAUAGGCAGAGCAUCCUGGUGUAAAUGAAAGGGUCCGACAACAUCUGUGGUGAAGAGGUAUGGAUAAUAAACCAGGUUGAUCAGAGAACAAUACAGCAUAGAUCAGGCCCUUUGAAGCACCAUACCAAACAUCAAGCUUCGAAUUGUACACUGAUCAUUGCUCAAUUCAUUUCAUUCCACAUUCCCAUCAACGCUUCGGUUUCCACUAGAUGUUGAAUGAGUAGCAGGAUCUGGGCCAUUGAUGAAAAUGUAAGCAAAUUAAAUUGUAUUUCGCGUAAAUGGGCAACUGAUGGUCGACAUGCGUUUGCUCGGCCGAAUUGCCUGGUUCAUUGUUCCCUAUCCCUAUUGAACAAUUAUGGCCAGAUUACACCACUCACCUAUGCACCGGAGACAACCUACAUCGUCCAAUUGACCUAUCAAACAACAUGUGUAUUGGUUGGUGUAACUUAACAGAUCCGGCAGAAUAUAUGGAGAGAGGAUAACAAACGUUUAGGGUCCGGACACUUCUUCAACGAUUGUAGUGAGCACAUGGGAGAGAAAGCUGGAAAAGAGGCGGUGCAGAACAAGUCAGAUUGGUUACAAUAGGGUGGAGAAACCUGAAGAAUAGUUGAUGGGGAGGAGGAGAUUAUAUUGGUUGGUCAUCAUUUAGAGUCCCUUUCAGUAGGAUUCGGAACCCUUCUACCGCAGUAUCAGUUUCCAAAGCGCCACAAUUUCUGCGACAUUUGGAAAUGUACACACUUACCUACCUACACUUACGUCCAAGGACAAGCAUGGGUUUUGUUUACUGGAACGUUGAAAGCUCCGAACCCGAAACAUAUGUUCUCUCGUCUUCCACAUUUCCUCUUAGCGAAAAAGGUCCUUAAUUUCACACGAUGGAUGCCUCUCAUAGUUUUCUAGAUCAAUCAACGAAUGGACAUUUGCAUUAAUGGAGGACGAUUGUAUAAACUCAUGUUUUAUCCCAAGACCUUGCAGAUGAAGCGGCCGUUGUGUCCUGGGCGCGAUGCGCGAGGUAGCCCACCAACGUGACCUGCCGCGGCAUUGUGCAAUCCAACUCCCCCGUCAACGUCACAUGGGGAUUCCUGAACCGGACCAUCACGAUGACGGACACGGCCGGGGGCGUCCAGGCAAAUUGCGUUCGCGUCGGUUCGCUGGUGUUCAUCACACUGAUCGUCCGCGGGGUAAACCUGACGGUGGAGACUGUGAACUUCUCGGCAUCCAACCCUCUGUGGCUGGUCCCUUUGCGGGCUGAGCUGGAGGUCCAGACAGACGAUGGGAUGGGAGACGGAGAAGGUGAGAUAAGAAUUGAAUGAAAAGCGUCACAUUAACCAAUUUCAUGAAUCAAGAAUCAAAAGGAUUUAACUGUCGUAUGCACAGUCAAUGGAACAACGAAAUUCGUUUUUGUGCAGCGGCAUAACAGAUCUUCAUGCUCUACGCUAAUAGAUGAUAUCAAUGAAGCAAACAACCAAUAAUGUAAUUAUCACAAUACAAGUGAAAUAAACAAAAUGAGUGCAA